CAGCAGCCGCGGUAAUACGAAGGGUGCAAGCGUUACUCGGAAUUACUGGGCGUAAAGCGUGCGUAGGUGGUGGUUUAAGUCCGUUGUAAAAGCCCUGGGCUCAACCUGGGAAUUGCAGUGGAUACUGGGUCACUAGAGUGUGGUAGAGGAUAGUGGAAUUUCCGGUGUAGCAGUGAAAUGCGUAGAGAUCGGAAGGAACAUCUGUGGCGAAGGCGACUAUCUGGGCCAACACUGACACUGAGGCACGAAAGCGUGGGGAGCAAACAGGAUUAGAUACCCCUGUAGUCCCUGUCUCUUAUAU
RNAcentral lists this ribosomal RNA (301 nucleotides) under uncultured bacterium. Its description in RNAcentral is "partial 16S ribosomal RNA". It matches the Rfam family "Bacterial small subunit ribosomal RNA", at positions 509 to 809 of the family's 1533-position model. The record is from RNAcentral.